Molecule: transfer RNA, 76 nt
Filed under: Candidatus Raymondbacteria bacterium RifOxyA12_full_50_37
Lineage: Bacteria; Candidatus Raymondiibacteriota
Also listed under: 6 other names
Description: tRNA-Pro
Rfam family: tRNA
About the family: Transfer RNA (tRNA) molecules are approximately 80 nucleotides in length. Their secondary structure includes four short double-helical elements and three loops (D, anti-codon, and T loops).
Source: RNAcentral
CGGGAUGUAGCGCAGUCCGGAUUAGCGUACCUGAAUGGGGUUCAGGUGGUCGUGAGUUCAAAUCUCACCAUCCCGA